GGUGGUUCUCGGUCGAUGCACCCCGGAAUUAGGCUCCCUCCUCUCUGGUUCCGGGCGCGUCACCACA
Molecule: non-coding RNA, 67 nt
Organism: Myotis brandtii (Brandt's bat)
Lineage: Eukaryota; Metazoa; Chordata; Mammalia; Chiroptera; Vespertilionidae
Source: Rfam